GAUGAACGCUGGCGGCGUGCCUAAUACAUGCAAGUCGAGCGGUAAGGUUCUCACUCUGUAUUUAACGAGUUUGAAUAUAGUGUGAGAAUACACGAGCGGCGGACGGCUGAGUAACACGUAGGAACGUACCCCAAAGUGAGGCAUAAGCAUCAGAAAUGAUGUCUAAUACCGCAUGUGAUCUUCGGAUUAAAGCUUCGGCGCUUUGGGAACGGCCUGCGCAUGAUUAGCUUGUUGGUGAGGUAAUAGCUCACCAAGGCGACGAUCAUUAGCUGGUCUGAGAGGAUGAUCAGCCAGAC
RNAcentral lists this ribosomal RNA (296 nucleotides) under uncultured bacterium. RNAcentral's name for it is "partial 16S ribosomal RNA". It matches the Rfam family "Bacterial small subunit ribosomal RNA", at positions 28 to 313 of the family's 1533-position model. The record is from RNAcentral.